Molecule: non-coding RNA, 4371 nt
Organism: Phoenix dactylifera (date palm)
Lineage: Eukaryota; Viridiplantae; Streptophyta; Magnoliopsida; Arecales; Arecaceae
Source: RefSeq, a predicted model, not a curated record
UUUAGAUUGCUAACAACAGAAAAUACAUUUUGUUGACUUUGUUUUUUAAAAAAUGAGGGUAGGCGACAUGGCUGGGGACAAAGGAGAGGGAUGGGGGUGAGGUCAGCAAUGUAGCUAGGGAUAAGGGAAAGGGAGAGCUUAGCAUCGGGAGGAAAAACGAUCGAGGGAGCGGCAGAGAAAGAGGGAGAUGAAGGGGGAUGGGGCCAACGGCAUGGCCAAGGAAAAGCAAUAGCUCGGCGUCGAGUGGAGAAGUAGCUAGCAAGGAUUGAAGAUUGAUGCAGUCGUGUAGGAGUGAUAUGGCCAAGGGCAAGGUCGGGCAGUUAAAGAAGGGUCGGGAGGAGAGGGGUGAGAAUUCACUUUUAAAAGAAGUGGAAGUUAAAAUUUUUCACCUAUACUUUUUUUAGAAUUCACGAAAGUUGUUUAAAAGAAAAAAUAGAAAUAAGGUAACCAAAUAUAUUUUCUGCAUCAGAUUCUGUCAUUUUAUCUUCCUUUUGAAAAUUUACCUAUGAAGGGACUUGUGAUGGCAGUUGUGAUGUCUAAUUAUGCAUCCAGCACAAAUAGUUUGGUGGAUAGAAAUUACUUAGAUAUACCAACAUACAUAAUAAUGUUUUAAUUCUAUUAUACCCCAAAAAGGGAGUAGAUGCAAAAAAAAAGACAUACUUGAUUUAACAAAGGAAAUAAUGGAUGUGAUAUUUGGGGGCAGUUAGGGAUGGUGUUAUUGGAGCAUCUAGCAAGGCACUUGGUUGAGCAAUAGAUUCUUAGAUAUGUGAAGAAGACCUAGCACCCUUCUUUUCUUUUUCUACACCAUAAAAGUAGACUCCAUCAAGAACAAGCUAUUUAAACAUUUAAAAAAAAUAUUCAAAAAUUAAUUACUAACAAGCAACAAGAUGCUAAAAUGAAUUGUUAUUUACUUAUUUGUUCUUGGGGUGAACUUUUCUUUAUGCUUCUCAAAAUGGCCUUUAAUUCUAUCAUCUGAAACUACUUUGGACCUCACGUAUGGGGGAUUUAAUAAUGGAGCCUCAUCAUCCUCACCGCUGCCAAUGUCAUCUUCUUUAACUAUUUUUUUAGUUCCUAUAUAAGAAUGUACAUCUACACUCAACCUUUUGAGGAAACUACUUCUAAGUUUUUUUUGCUCUCACCUCAGGAGAAUCCCAAAGAAUUCUCCUUGAUUCCUCGUGCCCUUGGCUCAACAAUACAAGGUUACAAGAAUAUCUCAUUGGACAAUUGCAAUAAAUCGGUUCCGCCUUAGUGGUGGACUACUGCUGUGAUGGCUCAUCUUGCUUCAAUUUAUACAUCCUUUUUCUAGCAUCUUUCAUCUACCAUUUUCGUUUAUAACUUUCUAGAAUUCUAUGUGCAUUUUUUUGUUUAACACUUUUAAAGCAUGUGAGCAAAGUAUCACAUGGAAUUUUAUGGCAUGAUGCUGCACCACAACACUCAAGAAACUCCUCAAAUAACUUAUAUAUUUUAUGUGUAUAAACUUUGGAUAUAUUCUUCGAAAUCUCGCUAUGUUUGAUUGCUCGUGUAGAGGCACUUUGAGCACAACGAAAAUCCUCUUCAUAUUCAUUUCUACACUAACCUUUAACUAACUUUUCGAAGGCAAGUACAAACUUUGUGAGAAAUAUUGAUUUAUCAGCUAUGCCAUUUAAGACAUUAACAGUACUCUCACUCCUUUGAGAUGAUUUAAUGCCAUCAUUGAAAGUAUCUUCGUUAAGAGCCUUGUGUCACCUUUGACGAAGCUUAUAUAGACUAUUAAGCCACUUGUGAUCUUAGGAAUUAUACUCAGAAAACAUCCUAGCCUAUGUUUCUUCAAAUUCCACUUAUGAUUAACAUCUCUGCAAAUAUUUGUUAAACAACUAUCGGAAAGGGUGACCAAAAUGAAAGCUACCCAAAUGAGACCACAUUCUCAUAGAUAUUCUAUAAAUAAAGGUGAUGGUGUGUAUUUGGAAACACAUCUUCAAUUGCUUUUCCAUUGCCCGAUCGAUCACCCAUUGACUCUAAGAAUGUCUUAAACAACUAUAUGAAGGAUGUUGUUAUCUCAUCUAACAAGAAAGCACACCCAAACAUGAUAUUUUGCUAAUGGUGGUUAACCCCCAUAAAUGGUGCACAAAUUAAGUUACAUCUGUUUAUGUGAUAAGUAGUUUCGAAAUCCAUUACAUCUGAAAACAAUCAUCGUCGAUUCUAAAUCUCCCAUCCCUCCAAAAAAACGUUUGUCAUUCUACCCUUUCGAUCAAUUUGCACAUCCCAAUAAAACAUGCCCUCUUGAUUUGUCAUAUGCUUGAAAUGGCUUACUAGACUUUGAGAGUCUCCAGUUUCAAGUAGCAUCAUUUUCUAAAUAUCAACAUAAUUAUAACAAUCACAUUUUAUAAAUCCCACAUUUUCAAUUUUACCCCCUUCUUCAACCAUAUAAGAUAAGGCAUUAAUUGCUCGAAAUUCUAGAUCCACCAUUGAAUCCAUUACUUCUCAGAAGUUAAUGAGAAGUAAAGACCGUUCAGACCUCAACAAAUGCCUUUCCUCCAGUUUAGCCAGGUGAUGAUUGUGUUUAGAAAGUAAUCUAGUUAUCUUCCAUUACCCUAGCUCAUCAACUAUAAAAUGAACCAUUGCUUUGCAAUUAGUUCUAGUAUCAGGCCAAGUGUAUUUGUCUUAUUAGGUAAGUAUCAUCCUUCAAUCCUUCCUUUAGUAACAAUAGUCCUUUUGUAUAAUUUUGUUUAUCUUGGUGAAGCAAUAUUACUUCUCCCUUCUAACACUAAAAUCAAAGUGAUGAGCAUAAUCACAAUAUAAUUUUUAGGCCUCCUCUUCACUAUGCUCAACCUACCAUAACAAGGCUUCACUUGCCAUGCACCUUAUGCUUUAAAACAACAGUAAAAAUAUUCACAUUUUCAUCCAUCUCAUGGACAGAUGUAGCUUCCACUUCUCCCUUACUAUCAAUAUAAACGGCACCUCCAUCAUUGGCAAGAAAAAUAGCAUCUCCAACCCAUUGUGGAGUACAACAAGAGCUCUCUAUCACUGUAGUGUUAAUCAUAAAUAUUAUAGCUCAGUUUUCAGAAAGAAAAUAUUAAAUUACAAGUUGAAAAUACAUCAGUUAUAUAGGAAAAAGCAGAAGUAGGGCAGAUAAUUGCAGAGAAGAAAUAGGAAAAAGCAAAAUUAGGAUCUAGCCACAUAAAAAGAUAGAGAAAAAAUAUCCCUGAAAUAUUAUUUGAAUAGAUGAGAUUAUACCAAUUCCAAAAGAAUUUUUUUUAGAAAAAGCACAUUGCAUUCAUAAUCAAGGUUUACAACAUGGCAAAGUAUCUUCUCACGAGUAAAUAAAUUUCUACCCAUAAAGAUCUGCCAUUUGGCUAUGGAAAAAAUCAUGAAUAAUUCAAGGAUAAAGAUUCAGGAAAUAUUUUCACUAUAUCUGUGUUUUAGUUGAAAAAAAUAGUAAUUAGUCUAGUGGAAGGAAAAACAGUUCGGAUUCAUUAUUCAUGGUGUUGUAACAAAGAUUCCAAAUUCCUUUUGUCUAGUUUAGCAACACUAGUUGAGGUCUGUCCUUCAAGGAAUUGAGGUUUGAGUGUUUUAUUGACGUAUAUUUGGGAUUUCAAAUUUCUAUGGCCAUGGGAGCCAAUGGAUCUGAAGGUAUGGGCUAGAGAUGGGCUUGACAACAGGAAGUCUGGAACUGGUAGGUAAUCAAAGGGACAACUAAGGUCGAGAUGGAGGUGAGAGACAAAAUCAAGAAGCAAAGGAGCAUGUACCAAAAAAGAAGCAGCAAAGGAACAAAGAAAACCAAUCAAGAUGGAAUGCCUAUAUUGAUGGGACUCUCCCAUACCUCUAUCAGUUUUUGAACAAUAGGAAAGGACCAUUCAUCAACAAUUCUAAUGUCUGCUCUUAUUUUAACCAGUACCUACAGAUGGGGCUUAAAGAGAUCGAGCUAGCAAAUUUGUAGAGAACGAUUGCUUGGUAAGGAGUCAACAAAUGUUGCGAGGCGGCGAUGGGGGCCGAGCCAAAGGUCAGUGGUGGUGUCUAGGUCCAAGGAGGGAGGAGGUCGGUCUUAUGGAGCUAAGGUCCGGUGGUGGGCUAGGAAGAGGCGAUGACUAGGUUUAGGGUUUCUCAGCCUCUCCUUUUUUUUUAGCUGAAAAAUAUUGUUUCCUAUUGAUCACACAUGGCAUUCAUGUGACAAUCAACCAUGGUUAACCAAAGAUGGGUUUAAAAAUUGUUGGAGCUUUUUUUAUUCCGAAUGGAUGAUGUGGCAAGUUAUCAUUGGAUGGCCUAUAAUCCUAACAGGCAAACUUUUUCUACCUAAUAAUUUCUCAUUAGGAUGGAUGCCAAAUGCAAAAUUAUGCCAGCCCUUUAAACCAUCUUGUGCCCAUAUCUAAAAAAUCCAAUAAACAUGGAUGGCUG